This 490-nucleotide ribosomal RNA is filed under the name uncultured bacterium. RNAcentral describes it as "partial 16S ribosomal RNA". It matches the Rfam family "Bacterial small subunit ribosomal RNA", at positions 30 to 507 of the family's 1533-position model. The record is from RNAcentral.
AUUGAACGCUGGCGGCAGGCCUAACACAUGCAAGUCGAACGGUAACAGGAAGAAGCUUGCUUCUUUGCUGACGAGUGGCGGACGGGUGAGUAAUGUCUGGGAAACUGCCUGAUGGAGGGGGAUAACUACUGGAAACGGUAGCUAAUACCGCAUAACGUCGCAAGACCAAAGAGGGGGACCUUCGGGCCUCUUGCCAUCGGAUGUGCCCAGAUGGGAUUAGCUAGUAGGUGGGGUAACGGCUCACCUAGGCGACGAUCCCUAGCUGGUCUGAGAGGAUGACCAGCCACACUGGAACUGAGACACGGUCCAGACUCCUACGGGAGGCAGCAGUGGGGAAUAUUGCACAAUGGGCGCAAGCCUGAUGCAGCCAUGCCGCGUGUAUGAAGAAGGCCUUCGGGUUGUAAAGUACUUUCAGCGGGGAGGAAGGGAGUAAAGUUAAUACCUUGGCUCAUUGACGUUACCCGCAGAAGAAGCACCGGCUAACUACGUG